GUCGAGCGGAUGACGGGAGCUUGCUCCUUGAUUCAGCGGCGGACGGGUGAGUAAUGCCUAGGAAUCUGCCUGGUAGUGGGGGACAACGUUUCGAAAGGAACGCUAAUACCGCAUACGUCCUACGGGAGAAAGCAGGGGACCUUCGGGCCUUGCGCUAUCAGAUGAGCCUAGGUCGGAUUAGCUUGUUGGUGAGGUAAUGGCUCACCAAGGCGACGAUCCGUAACUGGUCUGAGAGGAUGAUCAGUCACACUGGAACUGAGACACGGUCCAGACUCCUACGGGAGGCAGCAGUGGGGAAUAUUGGACAAUGGGCGAAAGCCUGAUCCAGCCAUGCCGCGUGUGUGAAGAAGGUCUUCGGAUUGUAAAGCACUUUAAGUUGGGAGGAAGGGCAGUAAGUUAAUACCUUGCUGUUUUGACGUUACCGACAGAAUAAGCACCGGCUAACUCUGUGCCAGCAGCCGCGGUAAUACAGAGGGUGCAAGCGUUAAUCGGAAUUACUGGGCGUAAAGCGCGCGUAGGUGGUUUGUUAAGUUGGAUGUGAAAGCCCCGGGCUCAACCUGGGAACUGCAUCCAAAACUGGCAAGCUAGAGUACGGUAGAGGGUGGUGGAAUUUCCUGUGUAGCGGUGAAAUGCGUAGAUAUAGGAAGGAACACCAGUGGCGAAGGCGACCACCUGGACUGAUACUGACACUGAGGUGCGAAAGCGUGGGGAGCAAACAGGAUUAGAUACCCUGGUAGUCCACGCCGUAAACGAUGUCAACUAGCCGUUGGAAUCCUUGAGAUUUAGUGGCGCAGCUAACGCAUUAAGUUGACCGCCUGGGGAGUACGGCCGCAAGGUUAAACUCAAUGAAUUGACGGGGCCCGCACAAGCAGUGGAGCAUGUGGUUUAAUUCGAAGCACGCGAAGAACUUACCAGGCUUGACAUGCAGAGACUUUCCAGAGAUGGAUUGGUGCCUUCGGGAACUCUGACACAGUGCUGCAUGGCUGUCUCA
Molecule: ribosomal RNA, 991 nt
Filed under: Pseudomonas putida
Lineage: Bacteria; Pseudomonadati; Pseudomonadota; Gammaproteobacteria; Pseudomonadales; Pseudomonadaceae
Description: bacterial SSU rRNA
Rfam family: Bacterial small subunit ribosomal RNA
Source: RNAcentral